GGGCUCCUCUCCUCUAGAUGGGCUUUGGAACGUCUGAAACGCAUAAUCGACCUAAAAAUCGUACGAAGAUCCUGUGGGGUGUCCAGUGCCCCUUAAAGGGAAGAUCUGGAUCAAUCCACAGUGGUUCCCUUGCUCGCAGGUGGCGCUUCUUUUGCUGUCGCCAGGCGCAGUUGUCAGCAAGGAAGGAGAAACGCUCCCCACAUCCUAAAAUACUCCCUCGGGUUGACCCCUGUUUAGAAGUGCAAAGACUCAACACCCCCACCCUCGGAGAAGCACACCCAUGGGCACUUCUGUUUCUAGAAGGACCAGCGUCCUUCCCAAGGCUGGGCUUCCGCGAGGGUCUAGAGGUGAGGGUUUGAUAAAAGCAAUACGAUAGCCAGUUCUAGUGCAACCUCAACAGCUGUUAGUCCAGUUCUAGAAAGUGAGCUGUACCUGUAGUUGAAACCCAGCUGGGUUAACUAUCAAAUGACUGAGAGUUAAGGCGUGAGUUUUCACCGUGCACUAGGGGGACUGUAACUUCACAGCCUAGGAAUCGAGAGAAGUUGCAGAAGAGAAAUGCUACUGGAUUAUAAUCACGGCUGUAAGAAUCCAGCUAAGAAAAUGAAAUUUGUGGAUUUCUUAAAAACAUGCUAUUUUGAUAUAGAAGGUUUGGAUGAUCUGAUUUUUGUUCCAACUACCAUUCUUCAAAGAUUAUGCUAUAAUGGGCCUUUCUGACAUCUCUAUAGGUGUCUGCAUUGCCUUCAUGUGAACCUUAUUCUUUGAUCCAAAGCUGUAGUUCACAAUUGUUUAUUGCUGUUUCUCAAACUCAACGUCUUGUUCCAAAAGGAAAAAAAGCUGUGAAUUUCUCUGUGGAGGCCUUUAGAAGCCUCUCCUAAAAUGUUUACCAUGUGGGCAAAUAACUUGGCACUAACGUGUGGCCAUUUCACCACAGAAAUAUCUGCCCAUAGAAACAAUACAUCACAUUCUUUUGCGGUGUACCUGGAGUGGGAAGUAUCUGCUGUGACUUAUUUGUGUUAAACCAGAUUGUGAUGUGAGAAGAGAGAUCUGAGAGUGCUACACAAAUUAGGAAUUCUUGGGGAACUCUGCACAAGUUCCUCACAGACUCCACCAGCCAAAUAUUUAGAAGCCUGAAAUGUCGAAUCCAGAAGGGACCAGAGAAAGGCUACCUGGCCUGACUUUCCCGUUUUCCAAAGAAGAAAGCUAACUCCUGAGAAGUGAAAGGUAGGGGACUGAGCAGGCUUUAGGAUCACGUGACCCUGCUCUCCCCUUUGACUUUGGACCUCUGAAAAUACUGUAAUCAACAAAGAGCAAUUGCAAUAAGGAAAGCAGGAGGAUGUUAUCGUUCUCAGGGCCUCCCAGUGAUUGAGGACAAUCCUAAGAUGACUUUGCUUUGGACUUUGUUAUUUCACUUAAGGAUUGGCUGUGCAGAACUGUUCUCCCAGCUAGGCCUUAUCUAUACUGCUUAUUUAAAAUCUUUGGCCUUCAUCUAAGUUGCUGACACUGUUUUAUGUUAAGCCUUAUGGUUUCUUCACUUCUGUGUUCUUCAGGGUGACUCUAUUUCCUUUCCUCAGAAGAAUACAGAGAAGCUCAUUUUUUUGGAGUUGGGUAACAAAGGAAUGUAGCUACACAAUUAACAGUUUGUAUAAAAUUCUGAAGCGGCUUUUAGAGUAUGGUAAAGUGCUAAUAAAUAAUAAUCAUAAACA
This is a long non-coding RNA of Mesocricetus auratus (golden hamster), 1703 nucleotides long. RefSeq lists it as uncharacterized. The record is from RefSeq and is a predicted model, not a curated record. NCBI's taxonomy places the organism in Eukaryota, Metazoa, Chordata, Mammalia, Rodentia, Cricetidae. The transcript is spliced from 2 exons.